This is a non-coding RNA of Triticum aestivum (bread wheat), 135 nucleotides long. NCBI's taxonomy places the organism in Eukaryota, Viridiplantae, Streptophyta, Magnoliopsida, Poales, Poaceae. The record is from Rfam.
UUUAUACCCCCUCCAUCCCAAAAUUCUUGUCUUAGAUUAGUCUAGAUACAGAUGUAUCUAAUACCAGAACAUGACUUGAUACAUCUGUAUUUAGACAAAUCUAAGACAAGAAUUUUAGGACAGAGGGAGUAUUUC